This 497-nucleotide ribosomal RNA is filed under the name uncultured bacterium. RNAcentral's name for it is "partial 16S ribosomal RNA". It matches the Rfam family "Bacterial small subunit ribosomal RNA", at positions 28 to 507 of the family's 1533-position model. The record is from RNAcentral.
GAUGAACGCUGGCGGCGUGCCUAAUACAUGCAAGUCGAGCGAACAGACGAGGAGCUUGCUCCUCUGACGUUAGCGGCGGACGGGUGAGUAACACGUGGAUAACCUACCUAUUAGACUGGGAUAACUUCGGGAAACCGGAGCUAAUACCGUAUAAUAUAUUGAACCGCAUGGUUCAAUAGUGAAAGACGGUUUUGCUGUCACUUAUAGAUGGAUCCGCGCCGCAUUAGCUAGUUGGUAAGGUAACGGCUUACCAAGGCAACGAUGCGUAGCCGACCUGAGAGGGUGAUCGGCCACACUGGAACUGCGACACGGUCCAGACUCCUACGGGAGGCAGCAGUAGGGAAUCUUCCGCAAUGGGCGAAAGCCUGACGGAGCAACGCCGCGUGAGUGACGAAGGUCUUCGGAUCGUAAAACUCUGUUAUUAGGGAAGAACAAAUGUGUAAGUAACUAUGCACGUCUUGACGGUACCUAAUCAGAAAGCCACGGCUAACUCCGUG